Long non-coding RNA from Solanum pennellii, 1164 nucleotides. RefSeq lists it as uncharacterized. The record is from RefSeq and is a predicted model, not a curated record. The transcript is spliced from 2 exons. NCBI's taxonomy places the organism in Eukaryota, Viridiplantae, Streptophyta, Magnoliopsida, Solanales, Solanaceae.
UUAUUUUUUUUUACAUUGAGAGGAACUAUUUCCAAAUAGAAAAACCCUAAAAAGUUCUCCUCUCUGUUUUUUUUUUUGGCACAAAGGCAGCCGCUACUCAACCUUCCAUUUUCCUUCUCCUCCACAGUCAAACAACCACCGAGAAUCGCUGAUCUCUCCCUCACUGAAACAACCAGUAAAUUGAACAACCCGUUUUCUCCAUUUUCCUUUCGUCUCCAGCCCACAAAAUAGCCGCCUGAAACAUCCAGUCCACCACCACGCUGCUGCCAACAACCUCUGAGCUCGCAGCGAACUUCAAGUAGAACAAACCUCAUUGCUUCUUCUCUCUUCCUCUACGCUGGAAUCCGGCGAAACCUACCUUCAAAACCCCUCUCCUCCACGCCGGAGAUUUGGCCAGCAAACAACCAGCCUUCGACCCUCAACCCAAAGCUCCGAACAACCACCCGAAACCACCCUUGCUCCAACCACCAGAUCCAGGUCGGAGCGCCACGACCAAGACCCAUCAGAAAGCCACCAAAACCCAUCAAUAAACCAGAUCCCAAACCCCUUUCUUUUCCCGUUUUCCUGCAGUAGAUCCGGCGAGGAGCUUAAAGCUCGAUGAACCGGAGCUUAACAACACAGACAGUCCUUUCCCCUUUCCCUUUUUCAAUUUUUUUGUUUGCAUACAUGUGUCUUCACCAUUAACUCCAGCAAGCUAAGUUCCAGCGAACAAGAGCAGGACCACCAGAUCUCCACCGCGAUGAGCUUCAGGCUCGAUGAAUCGGUGAACAACAAACUACAACCAGCUCCAUCCAACUGCUGCGAUGCUACAUUCAGUGACCAACGAAUCCCAUCACACUGCAAACUCCGGUGGACAACAGCCACACUACAACAACAACUCUACAAUGCUCAACAAUGGUCAAAACUGCAACAAAUACUAAGCGAAAAUGAAGAUACAGGAUGGAGGCUCAAGGUGGACUGUAUACAGUCAAUAUGUGGGACGACAUGCAGGAAAUGGUGUCGAUAUGUGAGCUGUAUAUGAUGAUAUACAGCUUGUGUAUACAAAAACGGGUUUCAUUGAUGUUCUUUGUGUUUAUUAACUCUGCCUUUAUUUGUUUUGGUUUUGACUUAAUUAAAUCCUCAAACGAUGAAGUAUAUUCUUUAUAUUAGUAUAUUUUAAUUUAA